GGCUAAUAAUGCGGGGUUCAGAUUAACGAAGUUUCCAUAUAUACAGGGAUCAAAUUAACGCGGCUUCCAUAUAACGCAGCGUUCGGGUUAAUGAGGUUUCAGUAUAUACAGGUUUCGGAUUUGAUUGUAUUUUUAAUUUCUUAAGUUCGAAUAUAUAUACGUGAUGUGUGAA
Molecule: long non-coding RNA, 172 nt
Organism: Haliotis rubra (blacklip abalone)
Lineage: Eukaryota; Metazoa; Mollusca; Gastropoda; Lepetellida; Haliotidae
Exons: 2
Source: RefSeq, a predicted model, not a curated record